RNAcentral lists this ribosomal RNA (533 nucleotides) under Alteromonas sp. Its description in RNAcentral is "bacterial SSU rRNA". It matches the Rfam family "Bacterial small subunit ribosomal RNA", at positions 383 to 908 of the family's 1533-position model. The record is from RNAcentral. Lineage: Bacteria; Pseudomonadati; Pseudomonadota; Gammaproteobacteria; Alteromonadales; Alteromonadaceae.
CUGAUGCAGCCAUGCCGCGUGUGUGAAGAAGGCCUUCGGGUUGUAAAGCACUUUCAGUUGUGAGGAAAAGUUAGUAGUUAAUACCUGCUAGCCGUGACGUUAACAACAGAAGAAGCACCGGCUAACUCCGUGCCAGCAGCCGCGGUAAUACGGAGGGUGCGAGCGUUAAUCGGAAUUACUGGGCGUAAAGCGCACGCAGGCGGUUUGUUAAGCUAGAUGUGAAAGCCCCGGGCUCAACCUGGGAUGGUCAUUUAGAACUGGCAGACUAGAGUCUUGGAGAGGGGAGUGGAAUUCCAGGUGUAGCGGUGAAAUGCGUAGAUAUCUGGAGGAACAUCAGUGGCGAAGGCGACUCCCUGGCCAAAGACUGACGCUCAUGUGCGAAAGUGUGGGUAGCGAACAGGAUUAGAUACCCUGGUAGUCCACACCGUAAACGCUGUCUACUAGCUGUGUGUGCCUUUAAGGCGUGCGUAGCGAAGCUAACGCGCUAAGUAGACCGCCUGGGGAGUACGGCCGCAAGGUUAAAACUCAAAUGA